Sebastes umbrosus (honeycomb rockfish) is the source of this 1481-nucleotide RNA transcript. It is a transcript of the gene named 2,4-dienoyl CoA reductase 2, peroxisomal, with no coding region annotated. NCBI's taxonomy places the organism in Eukaryota, Metazoa, Chordata, Actinopteri, Perciformes, Sebastidae. The transcript has 11 exons. The record is from RefSeq and is a predicted model, not a curated record.
UGCCCAUAAUGCAUCGCGUCAUGUCCAAGGUACAAACAGUUCCUAGUGAGAAGAAACACCUAAUGGGUGAGGAAUAAAUGUAAAGGUGUCUCGUCAGAGUUGGUUAACGUGCUUCGGGUGGAGGUUUCAUCAAAGAGGAGGUGGACGGUUCUUCUUUAAAGCUACAAAACUAGCUUAUUUUUUCUCAGAAGAAUGGCAGAGCCACAGGGAAAAGGAGAGCUGCUGCCCGAAGAUGUUGGCACAGAUGACUGCCUGACUUCGUACACACACAUCUACAGUCCAGAUUUACUCAAAGAUCAGGUUGCUUUUAUCACAGGUGGUGGAUCUGGGAUUGGACUCAGGAUAGCUGAAAUCUUCAUGAGGCAUGGCUGUGACACAGUGAUUGCGAGCAGGAACUUGGACAAGCUCAAAGAGGCAGCUAAAAAGCUGUCUGCAGCAUCAGGACGCCGCUGCCUCCCUUUGUGUAUAGACGUGAGGAAGCCCGAGAGCAUCGCAGCCGCCGUGGACGAGACGCUGAAAGAGUUGGGCCGCAUAGACAUCCUCAUUAACAAUGCUGCUGGAAACUUCCUCUGCCCGGCGGCCUCACUCUCCUUCAAUGCCUUCAAGACAGUAAUGGAGAUCGACACCAUGGGUACAUUCAACACCAGCAAGGUGGUUUAUGACAAGUGGUUAAAGGAUCAUGGUGGCAACAUAGUGAACAUCUCUGCAACACUUGGAUACAGGGGACAGGCCCUCCAGGUGCAUGCUGGUUCUGCUAAGGCUGCAAAUGAUGCCAUGACCAAGCACCUGGCUGUGGAGUGGGGCCCCAGUGGAGUAAGAGUCAAUUCUGUGGCUCCAGGUCCCGUCUCUGGCACGGAGGGCUUCCGCAGACUGGGUGGUACCAGUAAGGAGGCUGCUCAUGGGUUCCAGUCCAUCCCUUUGCAGCGGGCAGGCAACAAGACAGAGAUGGCCCAUUGCACUCUUUUCUUGGCCAGCCGGGCCUCCUCCUAUGUAACCGGAACCAUCCUGGUGGCGGACGGCGGAGCGUGGCUGACCUCGGCCAACGACGUCUCCGUGAUGUUGGGUAUAGCCUCGUUUAAAUCCGCUAAACUGUGAACGGGGGCUCUUCUGUCCUCCUCCUGACCCAGGUUAUUGGUCAUCUGAAAAGAAAAGAGACAAGUAAAUGCUGAAAACAAAAGAGUAAUUUAGCACAUCUGUAGUUCUAAUCAUGCUAUAUGUACAGUAUUUGAGGUUUAUCUCACCCACUGUUGCCUUAAAAGUGUAUUGCUAAGUGGCUGGAGGAGUUGAACACUAACAUACUAAUUACUGUAUUAUAUGUGUUUACAAUCUUAGUAAUGGAUCAAAUUAUAUAACAGUUCAGGGAUUUUUCACCCAUUACAGUGCUGUGUAUCGUCAUCAUGCAUUUCAUGUGUAGUCAUGCCAUUUAAUGUGAUUUUUAAGUACCUCUCAUUUAUUAAUAAAACAUUUAUAAUUCCAGGUAA